UCUACAACGUUAACGUGACGUCUCUAUAACGUUAACGUGACGUCUCUACAACGUUAACGUGACGUCUCUACAACGUUAACGUGACGUCUCUACAACGUUAACGUGACGUCUCUAUAACGUUAACGUGACGUCUCUACAACGUUAUUAAUAAUCCCUGGUACAGGAUGCGACAGUGUUUUUUUUUCAUGACUGAAUAAGAGAAAGGAAUGAAACAACCAGCCAGAGAGAUGGACCUUAUUUAGUAUUUUCGAUGUUUCUUCUCUGAUGAACAACUGUGUUGUGUAGCGGUAGUUAGCACUAGGUGGUAGCGGCAGGUAGCGGUAGGUAGCAGUAGGUAUUAGGUAGGUAGCGGUAGGUAGCGGUAGAUAGGCUGCGGCAGGUUGUGAAACUGACUUGUCCUUUACCUCCUGUACCAAAGCAGCAGACAUUCCUUCCUGUAGGAAACCUAGUACAGGUGUUUCAUUCUUCUCAGCUACUGAGCUACUAACUUAUUAACGGAAAGGUGGUGAUUAGGGUUGUGAAAUUCCAGAAAUGUUUCCAAAAUUCCCAGAUUUCCCGGAAAUUCCGGUUGGAAGAUUCUGGAAAAUCCAGGGAUCCUCCAACCAACUAGAAUUUCUCUGGGGGUGCUAGAACAUGAUAAAGCUCUAGAAUUUCUCUGGGGUGCUAGAACAUGAUAAAGCUCUAGAAUUUCUCUGGGGUGCUAGAACAUGAUAAAGCUCUAGAAUUUCUCUGGGGGUGCUAGAACAUGAUAAAGCUCUAAGGGUUUAUGAGGCACUGUCCAUCUUAACGCUUGAAAACCCUUCAUACAUGUCCUUACAUUCCAUCAUCCCAACUCAUAUCCUUUGGACAUUUAGCAUAUUUACAUUUGACUAAAGCUACACUUCCUAAAUGCUACCCUAUGUCCUAGGCGGUGCCCUACGUUUGACCAGCCCUUCAUCUCCUCAGAGGAAGACGAGCAAGAGGAAGACGUUUGACAAUAUUCUCUUUUGGUGCUUUUCUCAAACGUGUCUGUCCAAAAGUAGUGCACUAUGUAGGGAAUAGGGUGCCAUAGGGCUCUGGUCUAAAGUAGUGCACUAUGCAGGGAAUAGGGAACCAUUUGGGAUGGAGCUGAAAACAUAUUCUCUGAGAGCCGGGAUCCAGCUGCCAGUCAGCUGUUGUUGUUGUUAUUAUUAUUAUUGACUUUUAAUGUUUAAUGAGUUUAGAUGUAAAGAAACUCUUCUAAUCUAUAGUAGUUCAUAACAGAUGAAUCGGUCUGUAUUUUCUGUAAAUGUUACGAGAAAACGUUUUAUUUAGGCCAUUGUGGUGAAAUGAACUGUCAUUUUUAAUACACGAACACAGAGGGAAGGGGACACUAGUGUCCUGAAGUCAUUUAUCCUAAAACACAUUUCAUUACCGUCACUAGGUAGUAGUAGGGUUGCUCAUUUCUAAUACCUUUUCCUAAAAUUCCCAGGUUUUCAAAAAAAAAUAAAAAUAAAUCCCGGUUGGAAGAAUUCACAGAUUCAGGAGGUGAAAGCAGAAAAUGUGUGAAUCCUCCAAACAGGAUCUGGGCGUUUUUGGGGAAAGUUAACGUAAUUUUGGAGUCUCUCACUUGUUCUGCUUCGGGCAACACAAUUCCCUACACGGUUGUAGGAAAAUCACUUCAUGACAAAGUCUUUUUUUUUUUUAUAUAGGUAACUAUAAGACCAUCAUUACGCUGUGCGUAACGAAAUGUACAGAGAAGAUAAAAAAUCAUAGGUAUUUUUGGAGGAUCAAUGAAUUUGUUAAUGACAUGUAGCUAUUUAAUUUCCCUGAUUUCUUUUUGUCCAAUCAUGCAUUUUAUAACUUUUUGUUUUUGGUGUAAAAAAAAAAAAAAGUUUUUUUUUUUUUUUUAAGAUGUUUUUUUAAUUAUUUUAAAAGGUUAAAGUGCAGGAACACAGAAAUGAUUUGAAAACACUGCAUUGAUGAUAGCCACUUGUGUAUUUUGAUGAUAGCCACUUGUGUAUUUUGGCAGUUAUAAUGUUGCAUAAAGGCUACUCAGCAGACAGUCUACAAAGACAUAACGGUUAUGUCCCAACAUAUAUAAGGAAUUGUGUCAUUUGUAACCAAUCCUCUUUAUUUCAACCAUGUGCCUCUUGAGACAAUUGAACAAAAAAUAUAUCGUUGUCAUCCA
Molecule: long non-coding RNA, 2149 nt
Organism: Oncorhynchus nerka (sockeye salmon)
Lineage: Eukaryota; Metazoa; Chordata; Actinopteri; Salmoniformes; Salmonidae
Exons: 2
Source: RefSeq, a predicted model, not a curated record